This 305-nucleotide ribosomal RNA is filed under the name uncultured bacterium. RNAcentral describes it as "bacterial SSU rRNA". It matches the Rfam family "Bacterial small subunit ribosomal RNA", at positions 333 to 635 of the family's 1533-position model. The record is from RNAcentral.
UUGUGCCUACGGGAGGCAGCAGUGAGGAAUAUUGGUCAAUGGACGGAAGUCUGAACCAGCCAAGUAGCGUGCAGGAUGACGGCCCUAUGGGUUGUAAACUGCUUUUGUAUGGGGAUAAAGUUAGGGACGUGUCCCUAUUUGCAGGUACCAUGCGAAUGAGGACCGGCUAAUUCCGUGCCAGCAGCCGCGGUAAUACGGAAGGUCCAGGCGUUAUCCGGAUUUAUUGGGUUUAAAGGGAGCGUAGGCUGGAGAUUAAGUGUGUUGUGAAAUGUAGACGCUCAACGUCUGAAUUGCAGCGCAUACUG